This 1196-nucleotide long non-coding RNA is filed under the name Zea mays. RNAcentral describes it as "long non-coding RNA (ZMAY_LNC004293)". Lineage: Eukaryota; Viridiplantae; Streptophyta; Magnoliopsida; Poales; Poaceae. The record is from RNAcentral.
CAGCCUGCCACACGCCUGGUAUCCACGCUCCACUCCUCCACGCACCACGCGCAGGCACGUAGCCCGUUUCGUGCCCAGCGUCCAGCACCCCGUGUCCACAGCCGCACGUCCAAUCGUCCUACGUUUAUUAAUUUUUCACUACAGUUGUGUUUUUUGUAUUUUUUACCGGUGAAGAGCUGUUUUCAGCCGAUUUUUCAAUUUCUGAUCUUUUCAUUUAUGCCGUUCCCUGUCAUGUCGUGGAUCAUAUAUAUAUAUAGACACACGCAUCCGUGUCUAAAGUUUUAUUGUGCUGGAUUAGUAGUAUAUAUACAGAUUACAAUAGAAAUUUAGUCUUAAUUGUGAUUACUUAAAGGAGCAACAUUGAUUUGUCUUUAAUAGAGCAGGGUUGAUUAUAUAGAAUUGUAUAUUAAAAAUUUACUACACCAUUGACACACUCUAUAUAAAAAUCUAGGUCCGCCAGCUUACAAUCCAAUGCACAUUAUUUUUAAUGAUUUUGUAUAUUGAUAUGCUAUGGCAGUGACUUAAGGAAACCUUGAUUUUAAUUUUUUAAACACCUAGCAUUAAUGCCACGUAACAGAUCCUACUUUUCUUUUUGCAGAGCUCGGUUACUACAGCUCGUCCUCCUCCGGUAUAUCGCUGGCCUCCAUGAAAUUUGAUAUGCACAUGCUACACACUACUGGAGAAAGUGCAAUAUGUACUAGUUAGCAAUGCAACUGGCUACAGUACCAACGAUGUGGAUAUCUAUAACUAAAAACCCAAAUCAUUAGUCCGAGUUGUAUAGAUCAUAUACUAAAUAGUGAACUUUAGUACUUGUUUUUGGCUUGAAUAUGUACUAAAGGAUCCGUUUUUAGUACCAGUUCUAUUAGAAAAUAGUAAUUACAUGUAUAGAGUAGUUGGCACCGACCGAUCGUAAUUCACUAUGAAAUAGUAAUUGCCCAGCUUACAAUAGAAUGCACAUUUUGUUUAAUAAUUUGACCUGUUAGGCUAGCUUCAGCGAAGCGCGUAAAUGGAUGUGCAUGUGUAUUUUUGUUUGUAUUCAACUAUGUACUCUUCCAGGAGAGCGCGGAUGAGGAGGAUAUGAAAAAUGUGGACACCCAGCCUCCUCGUAUAUCAGAUCCAUGAUUUCUCUCUCAUUGGCAGGUUUAUAUACGCAUCCGUAUUCGCGCUCUGCUGGAAACGCCCUCACUUGUACUGUG